AGGUCAGUGUGGGGGACACGGAGUCAGGGUGGGGGACAUGGCAUGGGACAUGGGGUCAGUGCAGGGGACACGGGACGGGACACGGGGUCAGUGUAGGGGACACAGGAUGAGACAUGAGGUCAGCACGGGUAACAUAGGAUGGGACAUGGGGUCAGUGCGGGGGACACAGNNNNNNNNNNNNNNNNNNNNNNNNNNNNNNNNNNNNNNNNNNNNNNNNNNNNGUCAGGGUGGGGGACAUGGGAUGGGACAUGGGGUCAGGAUGGGGGACACGGGAUGGGACAUGGGGUCAGUGUGGGAGACAUGGAGUCAGGGUGGGGGACACGGAGUCAGGGUGGGGGACAUGGGAUGGGACAUGGGGUCAGGGUGGGGGACACGGGAUGUGACAUUGGGACAGCGUGGGGGACACGGGAUGAGACAUGGGGUCAGCACGGGGGACAUGGGAUGGGACAUGGGGUCAGUGUGGGGGACACAGAGUCAGGGUGGGGGACACGGGAUGGGACACGGGGUCAGUGUGGGGGACACAGAGUCAGGGUGCGGGGACAUGGGAUGGGACAUGGGGUCAGGGUGGGGGACACAGGAUGGGACAUGGGGUCAGGGUGGGGGACAUGGGAUGGGACAUGGGGUCAGGGUGGGGGACAUGGGAUGGGACACGGGGUCAGGGUGGGGGACACGGGAUGCGCUGUGGGGCUGCUCAGAGGCCGGGGUCUGCGUGUCCCCCCCCGUGCUCCUGCGAACCCCGCGUCCUCCGUGGCGCUGCCCGAGGGGACACCGUCACGGGGGCGCGCGCGGCACCUCGCCGGUGGCGCAGGCGGCCCCUGCGAUGGUGACGCUCCGCCCUUCCCUGGGACGCGGGCCCCGCCCCGCCGCGGCGGGACCAAUAGAAGCGGCAGGACCCCCGAGGAGGGCAGGGUCUGUAGAUGGGAGGGGACCCGUCGUCCCUCUAUGCAAAUACAAGCCUGACUAUUUGCCCGCCCGGAAGCGCUCGGGCCGCGCCCUCUCUCUCACCACGUGCUUUCCCAGCCGGCUCCCACUGGCGGGCGAGCGGACGGGGGCGGGACCCGCGGCGCGCGCCGAGGGAAGCGGGGCGGGCCGAUGACAGGCGGGACCCUGCGCCAAUGGGACGGCGG
RNAcentral lists this long non-coding RNA (1127 nucleotides) under Accipiter nisus (Eurasian sparrowhawk). RNAcentral describes it as "lncRNA (ENSANIG00000015300.1)". The record is from RNAcentral. Lineage: Eukaryota; Metazoa; Chordata; Aves; Accipitriformes; Accipitridae.